GGCCUCCAUCUUGAAAACGGAAAAUAAAAACAGCAGACCUAUGAAGGUCGAAGGGGAAGAAAAGCUGUAUCGAUUGUUGAGAUCUGGCGACUUGUUUAAAUUUCAUCAGCCUCACUUCUAUGAACUCUCAGGGUCCUCGUAAGAACUUCCAUUUUAUGUUCUUGUCUUCUCAUCAGUUUGAGUUGUGUCUUUAACAUUGGAGAGAAAAACAACUUGCAAGAUUUUCUUUCAGUAUGAACCAUUCUGAGGUCCUUCAAUUCUUUAGCUGAUUACCAACUCCUACCACUGUUAACCCUCAUCCAGGAACAAGCUUAUGUCUUUAACAUUCUGAGUGGGCUUCAGCAUCCUUGCAUAUGUUCAAUUCUUAAAAACCUGUUGAAAUAAAAGAUCAGGAGACAUAGGAAGGAUGCCAGAAGAGAGCGUGGCCUCACGUGUACCAGCUCUCUGCUCUCCUUUGCCUUGGGACGUUCCAUCCCUGGAAGUUUCCCUGCCCACAUCUUUGUAGAGAGUCCAUUCUCCAAGCUUCAGUGUGUCAUCUGUGAGGACCGUGACCCACCUGGUACAUCGCCUCAGGGCAUUCAUUUCAGGCUCCUUCUAAAUGGCCAAGUUUUCAAGAUUGUUUUGGCUCUAGCAAAACAAGUUGGAACAUUCACAUCAUCCAAGCUGCAGCAAGCUGUUCGUCAGAGUCAUCUUUGGUGACUAUCUGCCUACAGGCAUUCCUUUGCACUCUGGGUGUAGCCCUCAGUGCUGGGCUUACAAAGAAGACGACACAAAAGCAACCAUGAAAAGAUCUUGGAAGCAGAGGGAUCUGCAGAAGUGCUUGCAACACUUUCAGCCUUAACCAGCAUCAGAGACAAAAAUCCUUUCUGGAAUGAGGCACCCUUGGAAAUGCAAUGCUACAUCUCAAUGGGAUUUUCCAGUACAAAGAUUCUUUUCAAAUAACAUAAUUGUGGAUACACACCACUCCUACAGUGCUGCACUGAUGAGGAAACUGAAACAGAAAAUCCAGAGUAAAUUCCACCAGGCCACACAGCAAGGUCUGAUAGAGCCAGGAGAGACUUUAUGAAAUCCAGACUCUCACACUAAUGCUCUAUCAGCUAGACCUCCAUGUGAGUCUCCCCAAUGUAGGUAGGAAGUGCUUUCCCUAAAAUGCUCAUAAAGCAAAUCAGAGCAAUGCUGCAUUCCAUGUGAUUUCUAAUUUGAAAUGCAAACAAUUGCCAAUUUGUUUGACUUGUAUUUAUAAUUAUUUCCUUGUGAAUUACUCAUCACUAAAUGCUUUAUAAAUAUUUUCUCUUUUUUUCCUCAAUGUCUAUGGAAUGAUCACAGCAUAGAAAAUGUUGGCUUUCAAGGAUUUAUUAAUAUCUCCUUUUGAAAUAACAUGUAUUUGUAAGACAGAAUAAAAUCACUUUAAAGAAACAAA
This 1420-nucleotide long non-coding RNA is filed under the name Homo sapiens (human). Its description in RNAcentral is "testis expressed 41". The record is from RNAcentral. Lineage: Eukaryota; Metazoa; Chordata; Mammalia; Primates; Hominidae.